GACGAACGCUGGCGGCGUGCCUAAUACAUGCAAGUAGAACGCUGAAGGAGGAGCUUGCUCUUCUGGAUGAGUUGCGAACGGGUGAGUAACGCGUAGGUAACCUGCCUGGUAGCGGGGGAUAACUAUUGGAAACGAUAGCUAAUACCGCAUAACAGUAGAUGUUGCAUGACAUUUACUUAAAAGGUGCACUUGCAUCACUACCAGAUGGACCUGCGUUGUAUUAGCUAGUUGGUGGGGUAACGGCUCACCAAGGCGACGAUACAUAGCCGACCUGAGAGGGGGGUCCGCCAACCCUGGAACGGGACAACGCCCCAGAUCCUUACGGGAGGCACCAGAGGGGAACUUCGGACAUGGGGGGAAGUCUGAACGAGGCAAGCCGGGGGGGGGGAGGAGGGUCUUCGGUCGUAAAGCUCCGUUGUAAGGGAAGAAAGAGUGUGAGAGUGGAAAGUUCACGCUGUGACGGUACCUUACCAGAAAGCGACGGCUAACUACGUG
This 495-nucleotide ribosomal RNA is filed under the name uncultured bacterium. Its description in RNAcentral is "partial 16S ribosomal RNA". It matches the Rfam family "Bacterial small subunit ribosomal RNA", at positions 28 to 507 of the family's 1533-position model. The record is from RNAcentral.